GAUGAACGCUGGCGGCGUGCCUAAUACAUGCAAGUCGAACGCAUUGUGGUUGAAAUGAUAUGAAGAACUUGUUCAGAUUUGAUUUUCAACAUUGCAAUGAGUGGCGAACGGGUGAGUAACACGUGGGAAACCUACCUCUUAGCAGGGGAUAACAUUUGGAAACAAAUGCUAAUACCGUAUAAUAAUUAAAACCGCAUGGUUUUAGUUUAAAAGAUGGUCUUGCUAUCACUAAGAGAUGGUCCCGCGGUGUAUUAGUUAGUUGGUGAGGUAAUGGCUCACCAAGACAAUGAUACAUAGCCGAGUUGAGAGACUGACCGGCCACAAUGGGACUGAGACACGGCCCAUACUCCUACGGGAGGCAGCAGUAGGGAAGUCUUCCACAAUGGACGAAAGUCUGAUGGAGCAACGCCGCGUGUGUGAUGAAGGGUUUCGGCUCGUAAAACACUAGUUGUAGGAGAAGAAUGACAUUGAGAGUAACUGUUCAAUGUGUGACGGUA
RNAcentral lists this ribosomal RNA (497 nucleotides) under uncultured bacterium. RNAcentral's name for it is "bacterial SSU rRNA". It matches the Rfam family "Bacterial small subunit ribosomal RNA", at positions 28 to 477 of the family's 1533-position model. The record is from RNAcentral.